This 460-nucleotide ribosomal RNA is filed under the name uncultured bacterium. RNAcentral describes it as "partial 16S ribosomal RNA". It matches the Rfam family "Bacterial small subunit ribosomal RNA", at positions 338 to 795 of the family's 1533-position model. The record is from RNAcentral.
CCUACGGGUGGCAGCAGUGAGGAAUAUUGGUCAAUGGGCGCGCGCCUGAACCAGCCAAGUCGCGUGAAGGAUGACUGCCCUACGGGUUGUAAACUUCUUUUAUCAAGGAAUAAAGUGAGGCACGUGUCCCUUUUUGUAUGUACUUUAUGAAUAAGGAUCGGCUACCUCCGUGCCAGCAGCCGCGGUAAUACGGAGGAUCCGAUCGUUAUCCGGAUUUAUUGGGUUUAAAGGGAGCGUAGGUGGGUUGUUAAGUCAGUUGUGAAAGUUUGCGGCUCAACCGUAAAAUUGCAAUGGAUACUGGCAGGCUUGAGUACAGUAGAGGUAGGCGGAAUGCGUGGUGUAGCGGUGAAAUGCUUAGAUAUCACGAAGAACUCCGAUUGCGAAGGCAGCUUACUAAACUGCGACUGACAUUGAUGCUCGAAAGUGUGGGGAUCAAACAGGAUUAGAUACCCGAGUAGUC